This is a long non-coding RNA of Thunnus maccoyii (southern bluefin tuna), 1202 nucleotides long. RefSeq lists it as uncharacterized. The transcript is spliced from 4 exons. The record is from RefSeq and is a predicted model, not a curated record. Lineage: Eukaryota; Metazoa; Chordata; Actinopteri; Scombriformes; Scombridae.
CGCUUCUGUCCUGCGGAAACCCCGACAGACAAGCCUCGACUGUGGAUGAAAGGAAUAUCAAGAGCAAGCAAUUAAAACAUUGUCUAGAAUAUAAUGGGUCUCAAAAUAUUACACGCCUAAUAACUUCACAAUACACUUGAUUGCAAAGGGUUUUACAUUGUUGCUCAUUCAGCUAGUCUAGAUUUGGGAACACAACCGACAGAUGCAUUAACAUGUUUCAGCUUUUUUUUUUUGGUUUAGGCCAAGGUGAACUUUCCAAAGUCAAUACAUCAAUAAUAAUUGGUUUUAAUUACUCAGGGAAGCCAAUAUAAUGUUUCGCGCAUGCGCAAAAGACAACAUCACUCAAUUCUCUCUACUCCCGCUUCAGUGAUGUUACAGGUGAGACAGCAGCUGUUGAGUCUCUGCUGUGAUUUGGUGAUGAUGAAGGUUAGAUGUCUCCAACUCUCCCAGGAAACAGCAGAGAGGGCCACCGUUUUACUGAAUUAUUAAGAACCCAGGAACAGAAAAUCAGCCCCUCCAACUGAAGGUAAAAGUGAGACAUGUGAGGAAAACAACGCCAGUUUCCAAUGAUGGAUCAUCCAUUAGUCACUUGGCUCAGGCUGGUCUGUGGUGUCUUUUGUGGACUUGUAGUUUGUAAUUGCACAUAUAAAAUGUUGUACAGUCCAACACAGUUGACCACAGUGGGUACUUGUAUCAGUUAACCUUCAUAUAAUGCAUGACUGCGAGCAUUAAAUAAGGAAAGCUUAAAAGAAGCACAUCUAUAAGUUCUUUGCACUGAAAGAUUAAAAAAACAACAACAAAAAAAACAACGCUCUCCUUCCCAGUAAUUCUUUGUUCGACAGUAUUCCAACUACACAAAAUCUUUCAGCAUUAUAAAGGGGUUAUGUUUAAGUAAAUUGAAACAGAAUAGGAUUUCCCCAGCGUCAAAACCAUAAACAUAUCCUCCUGUUAAUUGCUUACUACUGCUGAGGUACUGUACUGAUGUACUGCUUUAUUGUUACUACUUGUUUGUUUUGCCCCACUUGCACUCUCACAUCCCUGAGGAAAUAUCACCAUCUUUUUUAUUGCCUGUCUUUAUUGCCUAAACUCGCUAUUGCGCCCCUAUUUCAUCAUGAUGAUUAAUCAUAUCAGUGUCCUACAGAAGCUUUAUUCUGUAUGUACAAAGAGCUUUCAAUAGUCGCACAUUAAAUUCUAUUGAGGAA